Molecule: ribosomal RNA, 465 nt
Filed under: Triticum aestivum (bread wheat)
Lineage: Eukaryota; Viridiplantae; Streptophyta; Magnoliopsida; Poales; Poaceae
Description: partial small subunit ribosomal RNA
Source: RNAcentral
AUGACGGCGGCUACGUCGUUUCCUUCUUGGAGGCAUGGCCUUGGAGAGUCAGCAUCUUGCGGUUUGCACGGAUCUCUUCAUCGUCGGGGACAAUGGACGUUGGGGCGGCUGCUCCGGGUGGUUUCUGGUUGUGCGCCGAGAUGGCGAUCUCGGGAACAAUGCGAGUGGCAGGUCUAUGAGGUGGGGCUCUGGCUCAACAUUGGUUGGGUGGCAUUUUUGUUCCGCUUGGGUGGUAGGGAUGUCGGCUCAGUCGAUGCGUCCCAGAAGGGGCGGUCUGACUUUAUGUCAGGGCGGCGGCCCCGGAUGUGGUGCGACGUUCGUGGUCUGCGAGCGGUUGGCCUGAGCAGCGUGGGCUGUGGGCAGCUGGGUUGUGCGGUGUUGCUGCUCAAGGGAGUGGUGGUAUGUCGGGGCGGCGGCCCCGAGAGAAUCAUUGUGGCGAUCGGGCUUCUGUGGCAACGAUGGUAG